Molecule: ribosomal RNA, 465 nt
Filed under: uncultured bacterium
Lineage: Bacteria
Description: partial 16S ribosomal RNA
Rfam family: Bacterial small subunit ribosomal RNA
Source: RNAcentral
GACGAACGCUGGCGGCGUGCUUAACACAUGCAAGUCGAACGGAAAGGCCCCUUUGGGGGUACUCGAGUGGCGAACGGGUGCGUAACACGUGAGUAACCUGCCCUUGACUUCGGGAUAACUUCAGGAAACUGGGGCUAAUACCGGAUAGGAAUCCUUGCUGCAUGGUGGGGGUUGGAAAGCUUCGGCGGUUUUGGAUGGACUCGCGGCUUAUCAGCUUGUUGGUGGGGUAGUGGCUUACCAAGGCUUUGACGGGUAGCCGGCCUGAGAGGGCGACCGGCCACAGUGGGACUGAGAGACGGCCCAGACUCCUACGGGAGGCAGCAGUGGGGAAUAUUGCACAAUGGGCGGAAGCCGGAUGCAGAAACGCCGCGUGCGGGAGGACGGCCUUCGGGUUGGAAACCGCUUUCAGCAGGGGCGAAGCUUGUGGUGACGGUACCUGCAGAAGAAGCACCGGCUAACUACGUG